AUGGCGGGGUCGGCUGGUCGCAGGAAGAGAGUGCUGGAGCCGGGGGCCGGAGAGGCGGCUGAGGACCAGCAGGACUGUGGUGUCCUGUUGUUCUCUGACCGACCGGACCGGUGUCCUGUUCAGCCUGAUGAGACGGCGACCGUCCUGAGGAAGCGCUCGCCCCGGCUCCGGGACCUCUCCAGGACCCCCGCCAGCGAGAGCAUCUUCUGCUGCUCCCUGUGCUACAAGGCCUUCAUCUCCUCCUCCAGCCUGGAGGCUCAUCACAAGGCCAGCCACAAGACCUUCUCAUUCUCCUCCUCCUCCUCCAGCCUGGAGACCAACCACAAGGGCUCCUCCUCCUCCAGCCUGGAGACCAACCACAAGGCCUCUUCCUCCUCCUCCUCCUCCUCCUCCUCCAGCUUGAAGGCCCCCCUCCUGGGGGCCCGCCCCACCCAGAGACCCCACCCCUGCGCCGUCUGCUCCAGGAGCUUCCGCCGGCCCUGCCUGCUGCGGGAGCACCUGAAGAGCCACGGCCCGGGCCGGACCGGCCCGCCGGGACACGGCAGCGCUCAGGAACCAGUCAGCCAACCAGACGCCUCAGAACCCCGUGACCUCAGCACCAAGCCGUCUGCUGGUAACCACGGUGACCCCGCCGGCCGCCCAGAGGACGAAGAGGACAAGGCGGCGGAUCGCCGCGGCGAGGAAGACGUCAGCGGUUUGAUCAACUCCGACGGCGAGGAGGAGUACUGGGAGUCUCCGUCCAGAACCGGUGAGGGCCGGGUCAGAGCAUCCACACUAACGCUCCGACCCCAACCUGGUCAGUGGACCUUCAUGUCUAUCGGGAGCAGGGCUGCAUUUCAGAUCUAG
This 846-nucleotide long non-coding RNA is filed under the name Gadus morhua (Atlantic cod). RNAcentral describes it as "lncRNA (ENSGMOG00000033103.1)". Lineage: Eukaryota; Metazoa; Chordata; Actinopteri; Gadiformes; Gadidae. The record is from RNAcentral.